AUACUCAUUUCAGUAGCACAUAUACAAAAAUUGGAAUGAUACGGAGAGGAUUAGAACAGUUUCCAUGCAAUUGUGACACUUAAAUUUGUGAAGUGUUUCAUAUUUUU
Monodelphis domestica (gray short-tailed opossum) is the source of this 107-nucleotide small nuclear RNA. The record is from Ensembl. Lineage: Eukaryota; Metazoa; Chordata; Mammalia; Didelphimorphia; Didelphidae.